AUCGCUUCUUGGCCUUUUGGCUAAGAUCAAGUGUAGUGUCUGUUCUUAUCAGUUUAAUCAUGAUCCUGAACAUUUGUAUAGUAUGUUAUUAUUAUUAUUAUUAUUAUUUUGAGAUGGAGUCUCACUCUGUUGCCCAGGCUGGAGUGCAAUGGUACAGCCUCAGCUCACAGCAG
Molecule: small nuclear RNA, 173 nt
Filed under: Piliocolobus tephrosceles (Ugandan red Colobus)
Lineage: Eukaryota; Metazoa; Chordata; Mammalia; Primates; Cercopithecidae
Description: U2 spliceosomal RNA (ENSPTEG00000028914.1)
Rfam family: U2 spliceosomal RNA
About the family: U2 is a small nuclear RNA (snRNA) component of the spliceosome (involved in pre-mRNA splicing). Complementary binding between U2 snRNA (in an area lying towards the 5' end but 3' to hairpin I) and the branchpoint sequence (BPS) of the intron results the bulging out of an unpaired adenosine, on the BPS, which initiates a nucleophilic attack at the intronic 5' splice site, thus starting the first of two transesterification reactions that mediate splicing.
Source: RNAcentral